AUGGUGACCCUGUGGGCAAUAUGGUGGGCACGGCGUAGGGCUAUCCAUGAGGGAGACUUGCAAAUCCCACAUGCGACUCAUUCCUUUGUCAAGAGAUUUAUCGCGGAACUGGCAACCAUCAGGGCUGGGACGCCGACACCAAAUGGUGAACAACAAACAAGUGCGAGACCGGCUGCUGGGCAAGGAUGGAGGGCGCCUGAAGUUGGAAUUGUUAAAAUUCAAGUAGAUGGGGGAGUCUCAAGAAACGGGAGAAGAGGGGCAGCUGCUACCAUCGGAAGGAACCAUGAGGGACUUUUUCUCGGAUCUUCAUCAAUGGUCUAUGAUGAAAUAAAUGAUCCUCCAAUGUUGGAGGCUUUGGCUUGCCGAGAAGCUCUAGCUCUAGCUCAGGAUCUUUAUGCACACCGUAUCGUUGUUGCGUGUGACUGCAAGACAGUUGUGGAGGAAAUCAAAAUGGGGUCAGAAGGAAGAUACAACAACAUCAUCAAGGAGAUCCAAGCCCAAUCAAGACUUUUUGAUCGAUGUGACUUCAUCUUUGAAGGUCGAAAAGGAAAUAUUGAUGCUCACAAUUUAGCAAAGUUUUCUACUUCUUUAGUCCAAGGGCGCCACGUGUGGCUGGAGGUACCCCAUGAUCCCUUUGUUAUCCCUGUAAACCGAAACAAUAAUCAAUAUAGUCUGGUUUACCACUCAAAAAAAAAGUCAGUUGCAAUAUUGUUAAAGAAAAAAAAUGGCUUUCCAUUGUUUUUUACGUUUUCUUAUUUUACAUGGGUUUUCUUUGUUUCUUACUCUAUUUUAUUGUUUCAUUAUUUUCUUUUUUUCCUUUUUUUGUUUCUUUUUUCGCUUCUCACUAGUUUUAUUCAUUUUCUUCCCUUUUUCCUUUAUUUCUUCUUCGGUUUUGUUUAUUUAUUUCUUCUUGUUUUUCGUUGUUAUUUUUGUGUGUUUUCUCUUAGGUUUUGUUUUUCAUGCACAUUUUUGGUAUAUCUCUAA
This 984-nucleotide ribosomal RNA is filed under the name Triticum aestivum (bread wheat). RNAcentral describes it as "partial small subunit ribosomal RNA". The record is from RNAcentral. Lineage: Eukaryota; Viridiplantae; Streptophyta; Magnoliopsida; Poales; Poaceae.